GAACUACCCCCACUAACAAGAACAGGACAGAUGUUGGUGACUUCCCAGUGAAUGUUUCUCCAUUACUGAAAGAGACGAAUGCAUCUGACCCCAAAGAACAUUUAAUAUAGGGGGGGGGACAAAAGAGCCAGUAGAUGUGACGGACGGGGUGAAAACAGAUGAACACGAAGCUGAAGGAGGAGGAGAAAGCAGCCUCUUUUCCGACCCUAAUAUUUUGUACAGCUACGUCCAAGUGGACAUCUUCACCUCUGAGAUUUUCAAAGAAUGAGGAGGAGAGGGACAAGGCCAUGAAGAUGGUGCAUGGCAUGCAGUGGAAAGGCCGGGUGCUCACUGCACCUGGCCAAACCCAAGGCUGACCCUAUCCUCAAGAAGAGGGGUUGGGAUGAUGCCGGGCAACCCCCUCUCCAAGCAGCAGGACCCAGAGCAGGAUGUGGCACCCCUCAGUGUGCAGAUUGCCAACGUGGUGGUGCCACUGUGGAACGUACCUUAUGAUGAGCAGCUGAGGAGGAAGAAGCAGGAGGUGGAGGGGGUGCUGCAGAGACUGGUUAGAUAAAUGGGCAACACCAACAAAGCGAUGCUGCUCUGGCUGUUUGUUCAGAAGAAGCUGCCCUCUGGAUGACAUUCACCCAUAUCCAUCUCAGGCUGUUAGGCCUAUAUGUGGCUGCCUGACCUGGCAACCUUGGAUGAACCUUUGCAGUUGCUGAAAGAAGCUGAAAUUAAAUCCAGAUGCACUCUGACAUUUUGGUCAUCCUAUUGAAUAAACUGAAUACAGGAACAAGUGUGAAUUCGUCAUUGGUAUUGGAGCGAAUGGAGAAGAUGAUAAGACCAUAGGCUUCAGACUGGGGAAGUACAAAGGGGGCUCCUGUGGUAGUGUUUCUUAGAUUAGAACGCAUAAAUGUGUACAUUUCUUUACCACAGCCCAAGCUUGUGUAUAACUGAACAAUGUGAAAAAAGUGAAAGUGACUCCUUUCAAAUCCUGUCAGUCAUUUAACUGUUUAUUAGGGAUUCUCUUGCCCUUUUUCGACUCUGCAGAAAUCAAAUACCCUGAAGAGCCUCUGUGAAAGAGUAUUUCACAGAGGAUGACAAAGAGUGAUGUAACCGCUCUGUACUUUUUUUCAGCGAGACAAAGGCAAUCCCCUAACCCAGAGGACUUGACGUGUGAGCUGGUAGCUGGAGAGGAGUGUAUUCAUGAGGAGCUUCUGGGCCUGGAGUUCAGGAUAUCCCCUUAUUACUUUUUCCAGGGGGUGAGGAAAGUGAUUGGCAUAGAGAUGUUUCAGGAAACAGAGAAGGACGCCAAAGUCAAUGGGCUGAUUAACAUUGAGUUCCAUUGUGGAAAGGCUGCUGAAGACAUUUCAAAUGGUGCUCAGCACUGUCAUAUCCCCAAACGUCACAGCCAUCGUGGACCCACCCAGAGCAGACCUACAUCCCAAGGUCAUUCUGGCAAUCAGAGCAUGUGAAGAGGCUGGUUUAUGUGGCAUGCGAUGCUAAGGCUGCCAUGAACAACUUUAUUGAGUGAGUCUUUGCAGGGCUCCCUCUAACGGUGUACGUGGAGCUCCUUUCCAUCCGGUUCGGGCCAUGGCUGUGAACCUCUUCCCCUAGACUACACACUGAGAUGCUGCCGCUCUUUUAGAUGGUGAACUAGUUUCCAGAGCACCAGCAACAAACUGGAAGACGAGGCUGAGGGAACCAGCAACAAACCGGAAGAGAUUUUCAUUUUACCUUACCUGAAAUAAUGACAACAGGGUAUGUUUUGUACUUACUGUACAUGUUCUAAACAGAAGCAUUGUCAGCAAAGUCCAUGGGGAAGUAGAUAGUUAUCUACCACAUAGUGCCUUCAGAAAGUAUUCACACCCCUGGACUUUUUCCACAUUUUGUUAACAAGUGGGAUUAAAAUGAGAUUAGUCAUUUUCUGUCAA
Molecule: RNA transcript, 1916 nt
Organism: Oncorhynchus masou masou (cherry salmon)
Lineage: Eukaryota; Metazoa; Chordata; Actinopteri; Salmoniformes; Salmonidae
Gene name: tRNA (uracil-5-)-methyltransferase homolog A-like
Exons: 9
Source: RefSeq, a predicted model, not a curated record